This 253-nucleotide ribosomal RNA is filed under the name uncultured bacterium. RNAcentral describes it as "partial 16S ribosomal RNA". It matches the Rfam family "Bacterial small subunit ribosomal RNA", at positions 524 to 776 of the family's 1533-position model. The record is from RNAcentral.
UACGUAGGGUGCGAGCGUUAAUCGGGAUUACUGGGCGUAAAGCGUGCGCAGGCGGUUAGCCGUGUCCGAUGUGAAAGCCCCGGGCUCAACCUGGGAAUGGCAUUGGAAACUGGCUGGCUGGAGUGUGGCAGAGGGGGGUGGAAUUCCACGUGUAGCAGUGAAAUGCGUAGAGAUGUGGAGGAACACCGAUGGCGAAGGCAGCCCCCUGGGUCAAGAUUGACGCCCAUGCACGAAAGCGUGGGGAGCAAACAGG